This 911-nucleotide ribosomal RNA is filed under the name uncultured bacterium. RNAcentral's name for it is "bacterial SSU rRNA". It matches the Rfam family "Bacterial small subunit ribosomal RNA", at positions 67 to 1002 of the family's 1533-position model. The record is from RNAcentral.
CGAGAAGCCAGAGCUUGCUCUGGUGGAGAGUGGCGAAAGGGGCAGUAAUACAUAGGUAACCUACCUCCCUGCCCGGGAUAACUCCGAGAAAUCGGUUGUAAUACCGGAUAACGUGAGCAAUCACCAAAGGUCCGCUGUGGGGAGAGGGGCUUAUGUAAUAUUAGCUUGUUGGUGGGGUAACGGCCCACCAAGGCGAAGAUGUCUAGCAGGUGUGAGAGCAUGACCUGCGCCACUGGCACUGAGACACUGGCCAGACUCCUACGGGAGGCUGCAGUCGAGAAUCUUCGGCAAUGGGCGAAAGCCUGACCGAGCGACGUCGCGUGCGCGAUGAAGGCCUUCGGGUUGUAAAGCGCUGUCGAGAGGGAGGAAAGCUUCGGUUUGACCUAUCUCUGGAGGAAGCACGGGCUAAGUUCGUGCCAGCAGCCGCGGUAAGACGAACCGUGCGAACGUUAAUCGGAAUCACUGGGCUUAAAGGGCGCGUAGGCGGGCUGGCAAGUCGGAGGUGAAAGUUUUCAGCUUAACUGGAAAAGUGCCCCCGAAACUGCCAGUCUUGAGGGAGGUAGGGGUAGUUGGAACUCCCGGUGGAGCGGUGAAAUGUGUUGAUAUCGGAAGGAACGCCGGUGGCGAAAGCGAACUACUGGACCUCUUCUGACGCUGAGGCGCGAAAGCUAGGGUAGCGAACGGGAUUAGAUACCCCGGUAGUCCUAGCCCUAAACGAUGGGUACUGAGUAGUGGACUUGCAUGGGUUCACUGCUGAAGCAAAAGUGGUAAGUACCCCGCCUGGGGAGUAUGGUCGCAAGGCUGAAACUCAAAGGAAUUGACGGGGGCUCACACAAGCGGUGGAGCAUGUGGCUUAUUUCGAGGCUACGCGAAGAACCUUAUCCUGGGCUUGACAUGUGCGAAAGCGCUAG